GACGAACGCUGGCGGCGUGCCUAAUACAUGCAAGUUGAGCGAUGAAGCUUGGUGCUUGCACCAAUUUGAAGAGCAGCGAACGGGUGAGUAACGCGUGGGGAAUCUGCCUUUGAGCGGGGGACAACAUUUGGAAACGAAUGCUAAUACCGCAUAACAACUUUAAACAUAAGUUUUAAGUUUGAAAGAUGCAAUUGCAUCACUCAAAGAUGAUCCCGCGUUGUAUUAGCUAGUUGGUGAGGUAAAGGCUCACCAAGGCGAUGAUACAUAGCCGACCUGAGAGGGUGGUCGGCCGGCUUGGGAGGGAGACACGGCCCAAACGCAUACGGGAGGCAGCAGUAGGGAAUCUGCAGCAAGGGACGAAAGUCUGACCGAGAAACGCCGCGUGAGUAAAGAAGGUUUUCGGAUCGGAAAACUCUGUUGGUAGAGAAGAACGUGGGUGAGAGUGGAAAGCUCAUCAAGUGACGGUAACUACCCAGAAAGGGACGGCUAACUACGUG
This 497-nucleotide ribosomal RNA is filed under the name uncultured bacterium. RNAcentral's name for it is "partial 16S ribosomal RNA". It matches the Rfam family "Bacterial small subunit ribosomal RNA", at positions 28 to 507 of the family's 1533-position model. The record is from RNAcentral.